GGGAAUGUGCCUGAAUUCAAGGGUCACUAUGAUAAAGUGAACAUAGAGAUACACUAACCCUCUCAUUUCCU
This 71-nucleotide transfer RNA is filed under the name Columba livia (rock pigeon). RNAcentral's name for it is "tRNA-Ile". The record is from RNAcentral. Lineage: Eukaryota; Metazoa; Chordata; Aves; Columbiformes; Columbidae.